GGUGGUAUCGUCUAAGGGCUAGGACACAUGCCUCUCACGCAUGCAAUCAGAGUUCGAAUCUCUGUACCACUA
This 72-nucleotide transfer RNA is filed under the name Bacteroidales bacterium. Its description in RNAcentral is "tRNA-Glu". It matches the Rfam family "tRNA". From Rfam's summary of the family: Transfer RNA (tRNA) molecules are approximately 80 nucleotides in length. Their secondary structure includes four short double-helical elements and three loops (D, anti-codon, and T loops). RNAcentral also lists the same sequence under 2 other names. Lineage: Bacteria; Pseudomonadati; Bacteroidota; Bacteroidia; Bacteroidales. The record is from RNAcentral.